This is a small nuclear RNA of Hyla sarda, 109 nucleotides long. The record is from RefSeq and is a predicted model, not a curated record. Lineage: Eukaryota; Metazoa; Chordata; Amphibia; Anura; Hylidae.
GUGCUUGCUUCAGCAGCACAUUGACUUAAAAAUUGGAACGAUACAAAGAAGAUUAGUGUGGCCCCAGCGCAAGGAUGACACGCAAAUACAUGAAGCGUAUCAUAUUAAA